UAACCCGCACCACUUAUCGUGGUGGGAGACAGUGUCAGGCGGGCAGUUUGACUGGGGCGGUCGCCUCCUAAAAGGGAACGGAGGCGCUCAAAGGGUCCCUCAGAAUGGUUGGAAAUCAUUCAUAGAGGGUAAAGGCAUAAGGGAGCUUGACUGCGAGACCUACAAGUCGAGCAGGGUCGAAAGACGGACUUAGUGAUCCGGUGGUUCCGCAUGGAAGGGCCA
RNAcentral lists this ribosomal RNA (222 nucleotides) under Staphylococcus aureus. RNAcentral's name for it is "partial 23S ribosomal RNA". It matches the Rfam family "Bacterial large subunit ribosomal RNA", at positions 2223 to 2444 of the family's 2925-position model. Lineage: Bacteria; Bacillati; Bacillota; Bacilli; Caryophanales; Staphylococcaceae. The record is from RNAcentral.